RNAcentral lists this long non-coding RNA (636 nucleotides) under Triticum aestivum (bread wheat). RNAcentral describes it as "long non-coding RNA (TAES_LNC010518)". Lineage: Eukaryota; Viridiplantae; Streptophyta; Magnoliopsida; Poales; Poaceae. The record is from RNAcentral.
UGCCGGUGCUAUGUUUUGCUAAUCCAAAAGGUGCAGUUUAUCAUUGCCCUUCAAGUAUGGUGCCAGCAUAUAUGUGUUUUAACUUUUUGUCCCUUGUUUUGCUAUGUUUAACCUUUCAUGCCCAGCUUCUUUGAUAAACUAAUUGUCCCCUUCAAGGCCACUGACUGCAUGACGGAGAGGUUAUCAAUUGGACAGAUUUGUCCUUCAUUUCAUUACUCGGUGCUGACUCUUUCUCUAUUUUUAUCUCAUUUGUCCAUUACACUUUUUGAAGGAUGAUAAUAAUCUGUCAACAUUGCAGAAUGGCCAUGCUUCUCUUUGUAUUCAUACACAAAUUUGAAGCUUAUAGCUUGAUUUACAUCUGAAUGACUUCGGCUUUAGUGUUUACUAGAAGAGUUGGGCGCGCUUUGCUGCGUCGUUGAUGUAAUUGGGUUUUCAUACUUUUUUUACUCCAUCUAUUUCAAAAUAUAAGGUGUAUUACUUUUUUUUAACUGUCAAACCUAUUUAAGUUUGACCGAAUUUGUGUGGAAAUAUAUCAAUAUCUAUAAUAUCAAGUCUGAUUUUUAGAUUCAUCAUGAAAUGAAUUUACAUAUUUCAUUUAUUUAGUACUCCCUUCGUCUCAAAAUUCUUGUCUUAAAU